RNAcentral lists this non-coding RNA (30 nucleotides) under Homo sapiens (human). Lineage: Eukaryota; Metazoa; Chordata; Mammalia; Primates; Hominidae. The record is from RNAcentral.
ACACCAAUGAACAGGUUGGACUACAAGGAG